Molecule: ribosomal RNA, 293 nt
Filed under: uncultured bacterium
Lineage: Bacteria
Description: partial 16S ribosomal RNA
Rfam family: Archaeal small subunit ribosomal RNA
Source: RNAcentral
GUGCCAGCCGCCGCGGUAAUACCGGCAGCUCGAGUGAUGUCCAAUAUUAUUGGGCCUAAAGCGUCCGUAGCUGGCCGCGCAAGUCCGUCGGGAAAUCCACCUGCCCAACAGGUGGGCGUCCGGCGGAAACUGUGUGGCUUGGAACCGGAAGGCUCAGAGGGUACGUCCGGGGUAGGAGUGAAAUCCUGUAAUCCCGUCCGGACCACCGAUGGCGAAAGCACUUCGAGAAAACGGAUCCGACAGUGAGGGACGAAAGCUAAGAUCGCGAACCGGAUUAGAAACCCCGGUAGUCC